UGGGGAAUUUUGCACAAUGGGGGAAACCCUGAUGCAGCGACGCCGCGUGAUUUAGAAGGCCUUCGGGUUGUAAAAAUCUUUUUUACGGGAUGAGAAUGACAGUACCAUAGGAAUAAGGACCGGCUAAUUACGUGCCAGCAGCCGCGGUAAUACGUAAGGUCCGAGCGUUGUCCGGAAUCAUUGGGCGUAAAGGGUACGUAGGCGGGUAAGCAAGUUAGAAGUGAAAUCCUGUAGCUCAACUACAGUAAGCUUUUAAAACUGCUCAUCUUGAGAUAUGGAAGGGAAAGUGGAAUUCCUAGUGUAGCGGUGAAAUGCGCAGAUAUUAGGAGGAAUACCGGUGGCGAAGGCGACUUUCUGGCCAUAAUCUGACGCUGAGGUACGAAAGCGUGGGUAGCAAACAGG
RNAcentral lists this ribosomal RNA (402 nucleotides) under Bacteroidota bacterium. RNAcentral's name for it is "Bacteroidetes bacterium partial 16S ribosomal RNA". It matches the Rfam family "Bacterial small subunit ribosomal RNA", at positions 355 to 776 of the family's 1533-position model. Lineage: Bacteria; Pseudomonadati; Bacteroidota. The record is from RNAcentral.